AUUGAACGCUGGCGGCAGGCCUAACACAUGCAAGUCGAGCGGAUGAAGGGAGCUUGCUCCUGGAUUCAGCGGCGGACGGGUGAGUAAUGCCUAGGAAUCUGCCUGGUAGUGGGGGAUAACGUCCGGAAACGGGCGCUAAUACCGCAUACGUCCUGAGGGAGAAAGUGGGGGAUCUUCGGACCUCACGCUAUCAGAUGAGCCUAGGUCGGAUUAGCUAGUUGGUGGGGUAAAGGCCUACCAAGGCGACGAUCCGUAACUGGUCUGAGAGGAUGAUCAGUCACCCUGGAAGUGGGACAAGGUCCAGACUCCUAAGGGAGGCAGCAGUGGGGAAUAUUGGACAAUGGGCGAAAGCCUGAUCCAGCCAUGCCGCGUGUGUGAAGAAGGUCUUCGGAUUGUAAAGCACUUUAAGUUGGGAGGAAGGGCAGUAAGUUAAUACCUUGCUGUUUUGACGUUACCAACAGAAUAAGCACCGGCUAACUUCGUG
Molecule: ribosomal RNA, 484 nt
Filed under: uncultured bacterium
Lineage: Bacteria
Description: partial 16S ribosomal RNA
Rfam family: Bacterial small subunit ribosomal RNA
Source: RNAcentral